This 32-nucleotide non-coding RNA is filed under the name Mus musculus (house mouse). Lineage: Eukaryota; Metazoa; Chordata; Mammalia; Rodentia; Muridae. The record is from RNAcentral.
UGCUUAGUAGGGACACAAAACUGUGCAUAGCA